Molecule: ribosomal RNA, 279 nt
Filed under: uncultured bacterium
Lineage: Bacteria
Description: partial 16S ribosomal RNA
Rfam family: Bacterial small subunit ribosomal RNA
Source: RNAcentral
UGCUAGCCGCCGCGGUAAUACGGAGGGUGUGAGCGUUAAUAGGAAUUACUGGGCGUAAAGCGCGCGUAGGUGGUCUGAUAAGUCGGAUGUGAAAGCCCCGGGCUUAACCUGGGAACUGCAUUCGAUACUGUCAGACUAGAGUAUGGUAGAGGGAAGUGGAAUUCCGGGUGUAGCGGUGAAAUGCGUAGAUAUCCGGAGGAACACCAGUGGCGAAGGCGGCUUCCUGGACCAAUACUGACACUGAGGUGCGAAAGCGUGGGGAGCAAACAGGAUUAGAUA